Molecule: ribosomal RNA, 468 nt
Filed under: uncultured bacterium
Lineage: Bacteria
Description: partial 16S ribosomal RNA
Rfam family: Bacterial small subunit ribosomal RNA
Source: RNAcentral
GACGAACGCUGGCGGCGUGCUUAACACAUGCAAGUCGAACGGAAAGGCCCUGCUUUUGUGGGGUGCUCGAGUGGCGAACGGGUGAGUAACACGUGAGUAACCUGCCCUUGACUUUGGGAUAACUUCAGGAAACUGGGGCUAAUACCGGAUAGGAGCUCCUGCUGCAUGGUGGGGGUUGGAAAGUUUCGGCGGUUGGGGAUGGACUCGCGGCUUAUCAGCUUGUUGGUGGGGUAGUGGCUUACCACGGCUUUGACGGGUAGCCGGCCUGAGAGGGUGACCGGCCACAUUGGGAGUGAGAUGCGGCCCAGACUCCUACGGGAGGCAGCAGUGGGGAAUAUUGCACAAUGGGCGGAAGACUGAUGCAGCAACGCCGCGUGCGGGAUGACGGCCUUCGGGUUGUAACCCGCUUUCGCCUGUGACGAAGCGUGAGUGACGGUAAUGGGUAAAGAAGCACCGGCUAACUACGUG